RNAcentral lists this unclassified non-coding RNA (205 nucleotides) under Hevea brasiliensis (rubber tree). Lineage: Eukaryota; Viridiplantae; Streptophyta; Magnoliopsida; Malpighiales; Euphorbiaceae. The record is from RNAcentral.
GUUAAAACUGUAUAAAGUCAGAAAUUCUAACUUUUUGGACCCAUCACAAAUGCAAAUGUCCAUGGCCGCUACGGCCUACGAUCCACACAUACCAAAAACCAUAUAAAUCUAUGCAUGAUAAGCCAAUCACAAUGUUCAUAAAGUCUGACAUUUUUCAGGCAUUUUACUACCAGGCACAUCUGUAAAAACAAGAAUUCUUAUCCAA